UCAGAGUUUUUCAGGGCCGAACAUCGGCUA
Molecule: small RNA, 30 nt
Filed under: Bombyx mori (domestic silkworm)
Lineage: Eukaryota; Metazoa; Arthropoda; Insecta; Lepidoptera; Bombycidae
Description: ovarian small RNA-25624
Source: RNAcentral